Long non-coding RNA from Pelmatolapia mariae (spotted tilapia), 1485 nucleotides. RefSeq lists it as uncharacterized. The record is from RefSeq and is a predicted model, not a curated record. The transcript has 5 exons. Lineage: Eukaryota; Metazoa; Chordata; Actinopteri; Cichliformes; Cichlidae.
GUCAAACGGGAGCCAGUACGUUCUUCGCAUCUUUACUUCAUCUCAGAGCUCCCAGUUGGUUUGUGUCUGACGGCUCAUCUCACUGUCCAGCUGCUUCCUGGCAUCCUUCAUGGUUUCCACUGCAGUCUUUGCAAAGGCAGCUGGCAGAGGAAUGGCCAAGGAAAGGAAAGACCUCACUGAGCGAAAAAGAUGAGGACAAAAGCUGGUGAUGAUUCAGUGCAGCUGGUCUCAGGGGAUGAAGAAAAAGCCUGAUCAACUUCUCUACAAAAACAAGGCUCAAUGAGACGGGGGAAGUAAACAGCGGUACAUUCACCCAGACUGCUGAUGUUCCUGUAUGAACUGAAAAACUUUGAACAUCCAAGAAAAAGCUGAGACACAUCAAAGAAAGUCAUGAGCCUGCCGCUGGGGAGGAAUGCGUUGGUGGGGCUGGUUGUUGGGGCCACAGCCGGCUUGGGAAUGAUUGCCUUCCUUUACAGGCAGAUGAGCAGGAGGAGGUCCCAGAGCCUUGUGCUGGAGACACGGCCAGCGGCCCGGCCAGCUCCACUAGCCCACAUGUGUUUUGUGUACAUUCUCCUCUCUCCUCCCCGCCAGGGCGGAGCUUACUGCAGGCUCCCGCCCUUGGCACACACCUGCAUCUCAUCAGGCUCUGAUUACGGGUUGAACUCUUAAGGCCGGGACGCAGACAGCCUCACCGCUGGAUGAUUAUGCUAGACACGUCAGUGAACCUCUGCCUCGAAUCCUUAAGCUUUGUAAACUUGCUGCAAUCUCUGUGUAACCUUAUUUUCCCCUGUGCACAGUUUUCCCCGGACCUGUGACUAACCUGUUAUUUCAACUGCUGUAAGGAAGAAGAGCUAGCGUGUGUGUGACUCCAAUCCCGGACCUCCCUGUUGGACCUAGGACCCCCGUUCCCCUCACUGUAUAUAUCGCCACCUGGUGAUUGUGUAAAUAAACGUUGUUUUCCCAACUGGAGCUCAGAAACCAGCUGGACCAAGUGCUAAGCUGCAUGGCGUCUCUACGUUUAGAGGUAGCUGAGCUCAGGGGAGGUCUACAGGUCAUUGCCCGGCAGAUCAUUCAGGAUGUCGAGUGAGUUGAACUAUGGUGAGCUACAUAGAAUCUGUCCUGCAGUACUGUGCAGAGGUCUUGUGUCACCACUCAGUUCUUUACUGGGUCAUAGUCUGUAUUUGGUGUGAGCACCUUUAUUCUUCAGCCGAGGCAGCUUUCUGUCAUCUCUUUAAGUAGUCUUCAGGAACAGCUCUCCUAGCUUCUUGAAGGACAAAGCUCUUCUUUGUGUGGACGAUUCCACACUGCUUCAAUAAUAUUGAGGUAGGGCUCUGGGGAGGCCCAUCCAUGACUGAUAGUUCUCCACUGCAUGUUUUUGUAUCCAAGUAUGCUUUUACUGCAUUGUCAGUGUGUUUCCAAGCAGACACUUUCAGAUGACACUGGAUCAAGAAUCCAAAUCCUUCAUCUACUAACUGUUUAGUGUUU